Long non-coding RNA from Populus euphratica (Euphrates poplar), 546 nucleotides. RefSeq lists it as uncharacterized. The record is from RefSeq and is a predicted model, not a curated record. The transcript has 2 exons. Lineage: Eukaryota; Viridiplantae; Streptophyta; Magnoliopsida; Malpighiales; Salicaceae.
CAAGUUCGAUCCUACAACGGAAACAUCAUCACAUCAUUAAAUCGUAGCAUCUUGUCCUGAAAAAGGCACAAACUCCUUGUGAUUUUUUUUUCUUCUCUCUGCGCCGGCUCUUCAUAACAGCAGAGAUUUUUGAGAGGCUGCAGAGAGAGAAAUCAAAAGAAGAAGAAAAAUGGCUGGUGUUUCCAGGAUUGUUGUAGCUGCUGUUGCUCUUGCUCUUGCUUCUGCCUUUGUUCUGCCUGUUGCUCAGGCCCAAGCUCCAGCUCCUGCCCCCACCAGUGAUGGGACAUCAAUUGACCAAGGCAUUGCAUACGUGCUGAUGUUGGUGGCACUAGUGCUCACAUACCUCAUUCACGCGGCAGACUUAUCUCACAGCUUCUGAAAUGGUUAAACUUUGGAUAAGGAGAUAGGGAGGUUUGGGUUAGAUUAUGGGAGUGAUGUGCGUGUAUCUUUUAUUUUAGUCUGUUGAUAUUUGUAUGAAUGGAUUGUUUCUGAGUUGUGACGAAUUUGUUGUUGUUGUUGCUAAUGCUAUCACCUUGUUUGGAGGCA